UACAGAGGUGGCAAGCGUUGUCCGGAUUUACUGGGUGUAAAGCGUGUGCAGGCGGGUGGCCAAGUGGUGUAUGAAAGCUCCAGGCUCAACCUGGAGAGGUUAUGCCAGACUGGUCAGCUAGAGGCAGAGAGAGGGACAUGGAAUUCCGGGUGUAGUGGUGAAAUGCGUAGAGAUCCGGAGGAACUCCAGAGGCGAAGGCGGUGUCCUGGCUCUGACCUGACGCUCAGACACGACAGCAUGGGGAGCGAACGGG
RNAcentral lists this ribosomal RNA (253 nucleotides) under uncultured bacterium. RNAcentral's name for it is "partial 16S ribosomal RNA". It matches the Rfam family "Bacterial small subunit ribosomal RNA", at positions 524 to 776 of the family's 1533-position model. The record is from RNAcentral.